This is a long non-coding RNA of Dreissena polymorpha, 406 nucleotides long. RefSeq lists it as uncharacterized. The transcript has 2 exons. The record is from RefSeq and is a predicted model, not a curated record. NCBI's taxonomy places the organism in Eukaryota, Metazoa, Mollusca, Bivalvia, Myida, Dreissenidae.
GCAUGCUCGUUUUUGGCGCCGUUCGUUUGCCAGGCAUGCAGAAGCCCCGUAGAGCCCCCAAAGAGUUUGACGUAGACGAUUGUCAGUGACAUUGUUUAAUAAAUUCGAAGUCAAACGUGACAAACGACAUUGUCUUCAGUCAACUCACGGUCUAAACUUACAGCUGAAUUGUAUGCAUUUAAAACCAAACUGUUUUCUAUGCAAUCGAGCUUUAAUAGACAGGCUUAAAGCAACACAGUGCAGAAGCUAUUACCCGCUUACCGUCAUGGUGGAGCUCUGCCCCGCCGCCAGGAUGCCGACCCCCCAGAUGACCUUCAUAGUGAAGCCGUACCGCUCGUACAACCAGUCGCCCUGAAACGCAGAGCGCAAAUGUCUAUAUAUAUAUAUAUAUAUAUAUAUAUAUAUA